UACGGAGGAUGCAAGCGUUAUCCGGAUUUAUUGGGUUUAAAGGGUGCGCAGGUUGUUUGAUAAGUCAGUGGUGAAAGUCUGUCGCUUAACGGUAGGAUUGCCAUUGAUACUGUUGGACUUGAAUAUGGAUGAGGUAGGCGGAAUGUGUAGUGUAGCGGUGAAAUGCAUAGAUAUUACACAGAACACCGGUUGCGAAGGCAGCUUACUAAUCCAUCAUUGACGCUGAGGCACGAAAGCGUGGGGAUCAAACAGGA
RNAcentral lists this ribosomal RNA (254 nucleotides) under uncultured prokaryote. RNAcentral describes it as "partial 16S ribosomal RNA". It matches the Rfam family "Bacterial small subunit ribosomal RNA", at positions 524 to 777 of the family's 1533-position model. The record is from RNAcentral.